This 1016-nucleotide unclassified non-coding RNA is filed under the name Bactrocera tryoni. RNAcentral's name for it is "annexin B9, transcript variant X5". The record is from RNAcentral. Lineage: Eukaryota; Metazoa; Arthropoda; Insecta; Diptera; Tephritidae.
CAAACCGGCACCCACCAAUUGUAAAUAAAACCGCCAAUUUUCACAAUAUAAAUUUUCUUUAAAAGUAAAAUACGAUGUUUAAAAUAAGUUGUUUUGAGAUAUGGCGACAAGAGAAAGAAAUGCCACGCAUUAUAACUCUUUGUAAAAAAUUAGAUGAUAUUUUAGAAGGUGGCCUUGCAGCUGGUUUGAUUAAUGAAUUUUGCGGUGGACCAGGUUGUGGAAAAACACAAAUGUGUUUGCAGCUUUGUAUCAAUGUGCAAUUUCCACGAAGGGUGGGUGGUCUUCAGGGCCAAGCUGUGUAUUUGGAUACAAAUCAAGAUUUCAGUCCUAAUCGUUUGCGAGAAAUUGCGUACUGUGCCGAAAAACGCUUCAUUCGUGCCUUACCCAGAACUGGGGUUGACUUAGGCACGCAAUAUCCUUUUACAGUUAAUUCAAUACUGGCAGGAGUAACUUAUAUGUACUGCAAAAAUCAUAUAGUAUUACAAACAGCAGUCGAGAGUCUACGUGAAAUGCUAAUUAAUAAUAAUGAGAUAAAGCUGAUCAUCAUUGAUUCGUUCUCCUUCCCUUUGCGCUUAAUUGAAGAUGUGGCAGAACGUACUGGAGUAGUUUAUAAUUUAUUAUCUCAGCUACAGCAGUUAGCGACAGAAUAUAAAGUAGUAGUGGUUAUAACAAAUGAGUUAACAACGCGUGUUACUGGCAAUGAUUGGAACAUAUUUCCAGCAUUAGGCGACAGCCACGGUCAUAAAAUUAAUCAGCGCAUCAUUCUUAGUAAAUGUAUUCAAGAAAAUUGUUUCGUUGCAUUGAUAGAAAAGUCGAAUAUAGUACCAAAAGUAGCUCUACCUUUUGUGAUUAAACAAAAUGGAAUUCGUGAUGUAUCAUAAACAGCAAACAAUUUUUAACUCUAGCUAGCUAUAAUCUAUUAUUUUUGCAAAGUGCGUGAUUUAUUACAUUUUUAAGUAACUAAAUAAACUAAGAAACCAAACAAAAUGAGCUCCGCUGAAUAUUAUCCAUUCAAG